Molecule: small RNA, 111 nt
Filed under: Klebsiella pneumoniae subsp. pneumoniae
Lineage: Bacteria; Pseudomonadati; Pseudomonadota; Gammaproteobacteria; Enterobacterales; Enterobacteriaceae
Description: partial RtT sRNA
Rfam family: RtT RNA
About the family: This family represents a bacterial cis-regulatory element known as RtT RNA. The exact function of RtT is unknown although it is thought that it may be involved in changing the cellular response in relation to amino acid starvation.
Source: RNAcentral
GUAAGAAGCUUCGACUAAGGUUCGACUCGAGCGAAGCGAGAGAACGUUGCCGCAGGCAACGGCCCGAAGGGCGAGGCGCUUUAGCGCCGAGUAAUCCUUCCCCCACCACCA